RNAcentral lists this ribosomal RNA (274 nucleotides) under uncultured bacterium. Its description in RNAcentral is "partial 16S ribosomal RNA". It matches the Rfam family "Bacterial small subunit ribosomal RNA", at positions 523 to 796 of the family's 1533-position model. The record is from RNAcentral.
AUACGGAGGGUGCAAGCGUUAAUCGGAAUUACUGGGCGUAAAGGGUACGUAGGCGGUUAAAUAAGUUGGAUGUGAAAGCCCCGGGCUCAACCUGGGAACUGCAUUCAAAACUGUUUGACUAGAGUGUAUGAGAGGUUGGCGGAAUUCCAGGUGUAGCAGUGAAAUGCGUAGAUAUCUGGAGGAACAUCAGUGGCGAAGGCGGCCAACUGGCAUAACACUGACGCUGAGGUACGAAAGCGUGGGGAGCGAACGGGAUUAGAAACCCCAGUAGUCC